CGAGCGGCGGACGGCUGAGUAACACGUAGGAACGUACCCCAAAGUGAGGGAUAAGCACCAGAAAUGGUGUCUAAUACCGCAUGUGCUCUAAGGAGUAAAGCUCCGGCGCUUUGGGAACGGCCUGCGCAUGAUUAGCUAGAUGGUGAGGUAAUGGCUCACCAUGGCGACGAUCAUUAGCUGGUCUGAGAGGAUGAUCAGUCAGACUGGGACUGAGACACGGUCCAGACUCCUACGGGAGGCAGCAGUAAGGAAUCUUCCACAAUGGGCGAAAGCCUGAUGGAGCAACGCCGCGUGCAGGAUGAAGGCCCUCGGGUCGUAAACUGCUUUUAUGAGUGAAGAAUAUGACGGUAACUCAUGAAUAAGCACCGGCUAACUACGUGCCAGCAGCCGCGGUCAUACGUAGGGUGCAAGCAUUAUCCGGAGUGACUGGGCGUAAAGAGUUGCGUAGGCGGUUAGUAAAGCGAAUAGUGAAACCUGGUGGCUCAACCAUACAGACUAUUAUUCGAACUCACUAACUCGAGAGUGGUAGAGGUAACUGGAAUUUCUUGUGUAGGAGUGAAAUCCGUAGAUAUAAGAAGGAACACCAAUGGCGUAGGCAGGUUACUGGACCAUUUCUGACGCUAAGGCACGAAAGCGUGGGGAGCGAACCGGAUUAGAUACCCGGGUAGUCCACGCCGUAAACGAUGGAUACUAGCUGUCGGGGGUAUCGACCCCCUCGGUAGCGAAGCUAACGCGUUAAGUAUCCCGCCUGUGGAGUACGGCCGCAAGGCUAAAACAUAAAGGAAUUGACGGGGAUCAGCACAAGCGGUGGAUCGUGUUCUUUAAUUUCGAUGAUAAACGAAGAACCUUACCAGGGCUUGACAUCCAGGGAAGCACUACGAAAGUAGAGUGUGCCUUUUG
Molecule: ribosomal RNA, 900 nt
Filed under: bacterium enrichment culture
Lineage: Bacteria
Description: bacterial SSU rRNA
Rfam family: Bacterial small subunit ribosomal RNA
Source: RNAcentral